This 655-nucleotide unclassified non-coding RNA is filed under the name Hevea brasiliensis (rubber tree). The record is from RNAcentral. Lineage: Eukaryota; Viridiplantae; Streptophyta; Magnoliopsida; Malpighiales; Euphorbiaceae.
GGUGAACACCUUCCUCUGGUAUGCUUUCUAGUCUCCAAUUCUUAUUAUUUGGCAAGAUUUACUUGUCACCAAUUGAAGUGAAAUAAAGCAACUGAUAUAGAAUUUGAGUACAUGCUGCAAUGACUACACUAUUGUACACAAUGCCGGCAUGAUAUAACGUAGCCUUCCUAGUUUCUAACCGGAGAUUCUACUACAAAGAAAGGGAUUUGAAAAUGAAGAAAAUAAUCCCUUCGAUUUGAUCAACCGGUGGAAUUGUUCUCUUCACCAGGGUUUUGCUUAAUCCCACUGCAACAAAAGAAAUGUGGCAACUUGACUCGACCACAAGCCUUGCAACGAAUAAUCACUGGAACGGGUUUUAGAGCCUUUGGUCCAUUCCUUAUGCCUCUCUUGUGAGGAGAAACCUUCUUCUUAGGGACAGCCAUAAGCUCCAUGGACCCCCAAUUGAAAGGUGAAUUUGGAAACAUAUUGCUGUUAUUCUCAUUUUCAGGUAAAACCAACGACGGUGAUGUCGCCGUCGGCCGAUCAACCACGCUAUCUAGAGGCGCCGGACGGGAAGUGAUGUGGGCAAAUCGUCGGAGACUGGAGUUCACGCCGGCGAACUUCCCGGCGGUUCGUAGCAUCGUUCCCCUUAACGCCAUUUUUGCUGGGUUUUGGC